Molecule: RNA transcript, 3873 nt
Organism: Pezoporus occidentalis (night parrot)
Lineage: Eukaryota; Metazoa; Chordata; Aves; Psittaciformes; Psittacidae
Gene: RNF43
Gene name: ring finger protein 43
Exons: 10
Source: RefSeq, a predicted model, not a curated record
AGAAGGAUGGAAGUGAUCAGCUGCGUGUGCGAGAGAACAGUACCAGAGGAAAUGUUCUUUUCACUGUAAGUCCAAGAAAUCCCUCCUGCAUUGUUUCUGGGAAGAAGACUGGUAACUGCCAACGACAGCGAAGGCAGAGAGCUUGAGCUGCCUCUGUGGGAAAUGCUGGCAAGAAGCUGAGAGGUCUCACAAGGUUGUUUGGGAUAGACAUUUUGGACCUGUGGAUCUUCCUAACACUUGGUCAGGAGACACGAGAGCACCAUGUCUGCGGCGACACCUCCCCGUAUUUCAUCUCUGUGGGACUGACAAGUUCCUCAUGCUCCCCGGUGUUCCUGUGUAUCUGAACUGAUUUCUUGCAACCUGUUCCUCUGAUCUUUCCUGAUUUCUGUGCUGGGGGAGGGACUCACAAUUUAGGAUAUAUAUUCUUUUUUUUUUUUUAGCCAGUUUGUUGGUUUAAAAUAUGCCUUUGAGCUCCCAGCGGGCCUUUGAGCACGUGGCACCAAGGAAGAGAAGCAGUGAUGGCGAGACCCGGAGCAGUGUCCUGGUGAGCAACGCUGGCGGUGACUGAGCCCCUCUUUCCUGUGUCUCCUGCCUCCCUGUCGCUGGGACACACGCUCGGAACCCCGACAAGCUUUGCCGACGGCUGGAGCCCGCCGCAGGGUGAGGACGCGUUCCCGAGCGGUAUGUGUGGCCGGAGCCCGCUGCUGCAGCUGGUAGCAUGAGUGCUGGCCCCCCGCUGCAGCUGGCUGUCCUCUGGCCGUGGCUGCUCAUGGCGACCCUGCACGCAGGGCUUGGCCGUACAGGGCUGGCGCUAGCGGCGGCGGUCGAGUCGGAGAGGUCGGCAGCGCAGAAAGCCAUCAUUAGAGUGAUCCCCCUGAAGGUGGAGCCCAUUGUGCUGGAAGGGGAGUUUGCAAACGUUGCUGAGGUGACUCCAGCCGAAGGAAAACUGCUGCAGUCCCACCCGCUGUCCCUGUGCAACACCAGCGAGGAUGAGCACACCGAAUCGGGAUUCAUCACCAUUGUCAAGCUUGAACAGCCGGAUCGGGAUCCCAACCCCUGCCUGUCGCUGGCAAACAAGGCAAAGCUGGCGGGGGAGCGUGGAGCUCGUGCGAUCCUUUUUGACAUUACCGAUGAUGAAAGUGCUGCUGAUCAGCUGAGAAAGCCCAGAGGUCUGAGUCAGCCUGUGGUUCUGAUCAGAGGUCACGAUGCUGAGCUUCUCAUGGGUGUCGUGAACAAGAACAGAGAGGCCCAUGUGAAGAUAGAGGUCAAGGAGCCACCAUCUUGGCCAGACUACGACGUGUGGAUCCUCCUCACGGUGGUCAGCACCGUGGUCGUUAUCAUCUUAAUUUUUGUGGUGCGCACAAAGUGCCAACUGAACAGGACUCAGGACUCCCUGCAGCAGCAGACCAUGCAGGCCAUCGGGCAGCUGGCCACGCGUAAGUUCCAGGCGAGGUGCCGGCCAGCAGCACGGUGGGACUCGGCCAGUACCUGCAGCUCAGCCCCGGUCUGUGCCAUCUGCCUGGAGGAGUUCAGCGAAGGCCAGGACCUGAGGAUCAUCUCGUGCUCCCACGAGUUUCACCGGGAGUGCGUUGACCCCUGGCUGCAGCAGCACCACACAUGUCCACUUUGCAUGUUCAAUAUCCUUGCCAGAGACUCGGUGGACCAGGCCACGGCUGCUGGCUCCAGGAUGGCCCCACAGGACAUGGAACCCGGACGGCGACUCCACCUCUUCCGACAGCACCCAGGACAUGCCCUUUACCACCUCCCACAUGCUUAUCCUCAGAGGAACCUCAGGAACUUUCCCCCGGAGCAAGCCCAUGGCAACCCCUUCUUUCACUCUCUGGAGCUCUCCCAGUUGGAUUUUGGCACUAUCCACUACAUGCCUUACAGGCCAGCCACCUCCCUGCUUGCCUGUGGCCACUCUUCUCCUCUGGCCCCGGGCUUGCUGGGCCAGCAGCAUCCCAACCCCUCGGCAUGCGGGCAGACGCUGCCAUCCCACAGGACUUGUUCUCUCCAGCCCCAGCCCCAGCCCCCCUGCCUGGGGCUCAAGGCAGCCCUGGUGCAGAAGCAGCACCGGGCGCCUGCCCUUCGCCGGGGGGUUGCCCACGGGCACCAGCACAACAGCAGUGGCUCUGGAGAAAGCUAUCUCACGGAGCACAGCGGGUACCUGGCAGAUGGGCCAGGCAGUGACUCCAGCUCGGGGCCUUGCCACGGUUCCUCCAGUGACUCCAUGUUGAACUGCACAGAUGUCAGUCUGCAGGGCAUCCAUGGCAGCUGCUCCACUUUCCGCAGCUCCCUCAGCAGCGAUUACGACCCCUUUGUGUACUGCAGCUCAGAGGGCCCUGCCACAGACAAUGGCCAGGAGCAGCCGCUGCCACCAAGGGACAUGCGGCCCAGGUCCUUGGACUUGAUGGUGCCUGGGGGUGCUGGUCCGGCGAAGCCCCAGGUGCUCAGCCACGUCCACUACCACCACCACCAGCACCACCACUACAGAAGAAAUGCGGAGUGUACCCCGGGGUGGGCAGGGCAAGGGCCUGGGCAGCGCAAAUCCCGGUACACAGGGGCCAAGGUUGGCUUCCACAGUGCUCGGACACAAAAGAGAACUGAGAAAAGCUAUCACUGUCAGCAGCCUCCAGACAGCAGCACUGUGCUGCAGGAAGCAGCUCUGGCGGGACAGCCAGCCUGUUCCCAGCAAGGCCGGGAGUCCCCUCAUAUCCCUUCCGCUUCUCCAAGCAGGUUGGACUUCAGUAAAGAUGCCAAAAGACAAUUGGAAGCAUCUGGGACAUCCCCUGUCCCACUGCCCCCAAAACACAGCUCACAGAGCCGUCACCACCGAAGGAAAAGAAAAUGUCCCCUGGAGCCCAGCCCCGCUCUUCUGCCCGAGGACUCAGCCUUGCCCAAAGCUUGCGAUGCUCAUGUUCCUCACAGACAUCCUGCUGGCUACUGCUGCUCACCUGAAGCCCAGCCCCUGAUCCCCACAAGCGCUCCCCUGUCCUGCAGCUCAGGCUCUCGGCCGCUCUGGAAGUGUUUAGUGCCGCAGUCUGGCUCAGAGCUGAAAAAGCAGGAGGAGGGGUUGUCAGGAUGGGAGGGAAACCACACGGUUCCUGCUGAUUUCUCAGGGACAGGCACCCCCAGACACAGUCUGAGUCUUCAACUUCACUGCCCGUCUCAGCAGGGUAGUCAGGGAUCUGAAGAGGAGGUCCAGGAUGUCCGUGAACACUCAGUUUAAUAGAACACUGGCCUGCUUCCUUACUGGAGAGCUGGAGUGGACAAAGAUGUUCAGUGUACCAGCCGUCGAGGAGCUCACAUCUGGCUCUCUGCACAGCCCUGACCUGCACAGCCCAUGCCAGGGUGCAGACUGUGAAUAAGCACUUGUGGUCUCUUCACAUGUUCCCCAUUUGCGAUGGUCACACAAACACGGUGCUGUGUUCUCCAGGUCCCCUUCUCCUUUGAAGGCAGAGGCAGACCAUCUUCAUCCUAUAGCAUCCAUCUGUGUGGGCCAGCUGGCUCAGAGAUCAGAGUUGGGAGUCACCAGCUGGAGAGCUCGCGCAGUCUGCCCUGCAAGGUGCUGCUUCUGGCUUUUUUGGAAACCAACAGCUCUCACCACUUUUGAUCACUUCAUUGUCCCUCAGCUGACGCCAUCUCAGCCAUUUGCUGGGUUUUGCCAGCAGCAGGUGAGGUGAAGACACAGGGACAAGAUCAGUAUUUCUGGGAAGGAGCUGGGUUAGACUCUUCCUGUUGCAGUGGGAAGAGCAAUCUCAUCUGGCAAUGUGUACAAGUCUCUCACUUUCCUCCACCUGCUCUCAAGAUAGGUGUGAUGGCUGGCUCUGUUAAGAGCAACUCAUUUGUUGAGCAUAUUUCAAACCUGAGAUG